GGCUGACAGCAGAGCAGAAGGAGCAUAGGGUCCUGGCCAGCAGGGGCUCAAUUGGGCCAGACUGGCUCCCCUCUGUCCCUGCUGGUGCAGCCUAGCCCAGCUCCAUAGACCCCUGACAGCCUAUGCCCCACGCUCCUGCUGCCCCACUUUGGGCCCCGCUGGCACUGGCCCUGGGACACCGGUGUGGCCCCACGCUCUCGCCCAACUAUUGCUGCACUCCCAUGUACCUGCUCGCUCCCACUCCCCCUCCAACCCCUGCUGCCACUUUCCCCACUUUCCUGCCUACUGCCACAGCACUCCAGCACCACAUGGUUCCCAGCUGCAUGGCCAUGACCACAGAACUCAGCAGGAACUGGCACGGCCCUGAGGACUGGGGUGAUCACUCACAGACCUCCCUGCCUCCCUCCCCUGCUCCUUCUUAUCUGAAUUUCCCUCUGGUGCAGGGAGGCAGGAACAGCCCCACAGUCCCAGGCCAGAAGCCUCUACUAGGCAGGGGCUUCCAGUUGGGGUAAGGGGGAAUAAGUGAGUCUUGCUGUUGGGUCCUGCCACCAGCUCCCCCUGGGUCCUACUGCCCCUGUCAUCUUUGACAGGUAGCCAGGAGCAGAUAAAUAUUACUUUUCUAAAUUUUUUAGAAGCCCCAUGGGCCAAUAGAAUGACCUGGUGGGCUGGAUUCAGCCCAUGGGCUAUAUUUUGCCCACCCCGAUGUAUACUGCUAGACAUUUCGUAUUGUACUUGUUUAACAAACACAGUUAGAUGGACCUCACCUGGCCAAUGUAGUUCCUUCAUGGUAAACAUAUGUUGCAUAAAGAGCAGAGAACAUACCACCAGUGAUGAUAUUUCACUAACCCUAGCAGAAAUGUUGCUUGUUAGACUCUAAUACAUUGCAUUCUUCCAGAUGUUCUGUCACUCCUAAAGAUUUUUUCAUAGACAAAUGAAUCUCUUUUGUAGUGGCAGCUUAUUCAGACACAGGUUCUUCAGUGAAAAUAUCCUUUUCUUUAAAGAUUCCAUAGUGCAGGAACCAAAGCCUGUUGCCUCCCAUUCCCUGAUCUAUUUGUAGUCCAGGGUCCCAUCUGGUUCGAGGAUGACUACAUCCCACAGUGUUACGCAACAAAGACAGCAAUGCCAUAUAUGCUUGCAAACCAGGCUCUAGGCUUUAACAGUAACUGCAACUACAUCAGUUGCUCUGACUUAGGCUGAGACCAGGCAGUUCUGUUCCUUUCUGGGCAAUGAGAGUAGUAAUAAUCAGUGAUCAACAAAUUUUAAUUUAUUUAGAAGGGAAACAUUUCACAGAAAACAUAGCUUAAAAAUAGCUGUAUGUUUAUCUGUUCCAUAAGGCUUUCCAUUCCUGGAUUUGGGAAGACUCGCCUUUAGACUGUCUCCACACAGUCUCUCUGCCUGUAUCAGCCUGCCUAGCUCCAGGGACACAGGGACAGUAUCAAAACAUUGCCUGCCACACCCAGCACAUAGUCCAGCAGAUGAAAUGUAUCUCAGGGUUUUCAACUGGACUAUAUUGGAAGAAAGAUCUGGGCUUCACUGUGGGCACCUCAGCCCUACUCCAUGGGCAGCAGCAGUGCAAAAGCAAGAAAAAUGUAAGAACACAUGAGAAUGGGAUGGACUGUCCUCCACAGAAUACCAUAAUGGCAUGUACACAAAAAAGGUGGCACUGGGGCUGGCAGGCCAUCUUGGCUCAAUAGGGAAGUUGCAGAUCUUCUAAAAAAGAAAAGGGAGACUUACCAACAAUGGACGCUAGGAAUAGGGCCCCAAGGAGAUCUACAUAAGAUUGGCCCACACCUGUAGGGGGCUGAUUAGAAAAGCAAAGGCAGUGACCAAAUUCAGGUUAGCAACUGAAAUCAAGGACAAUAAAAAGUUCUUCUAUAAGUAUGUAGGUAAUAGGAGAAAAACCAGUGGAAACGUGGGACCACUGCUCAAUGCAUCUGGACAUCUGAUCACCAACACCAAGGUGAAAACUGAACUGCUGAAUGAGUACUUUGUAUCUGUAUUCCACCAGUCUAAGAGUGACAGCCUGCCAAUUGCAAAUAUGACACAGAAUAGUCAUAGAAAGAUGAUCACCUGCCAACAGACAAUGUAGAGGUGGUGAAAGACAAGCUAGAGAGGCUGGAGCCAGAAGCAGUGACAGCACAGCAGCUGAGAGGAGGCAAGUCCUCGGUGCCCAGAGCAGGGCACAGGGUGGGAGAAGCCUGGCAGUGCAGGAAGGCCUGGAGAGGCACUUCAGUGGUUGCACAGAGGAGACCCAUUGAGCUGCAUCCUGACCACCACCACCACCUGAGGGAGCGUGAGUCAUUGUGCCCUUGGGUCUCACUGGGGAAGGUCACUUGGGGCAGGCAACCCAGAGAAAGAGGCUGGGUGAGCAGUCCCCUGCCCAGGCAAGGGCCUGAAGUGAGGGGGCCCAUGGUGCUUCCUGAACACCACCCACUCUGAGCAGGGAUAUAUAGAUUAAGGAAUAAUGUUAUUAAGAAUGUUUGUGUCUGCGCCUUAUAUUUUGUAAUUGAGAUGUUGUAUUAUGAUGUUGCAUUGCAUUGAUGUUGCUGCAAUUAUUUGGUUGUGAUGGGUAAGCAGUGGUAUCAUAGAACAAAGUAAUUUCUGAUUUUAUUUUGUGGGUAUAUUGUUUUCUCUGUUGUGGUUAGGAGUGAUUUUCCCACAGUGUUAUCUAGGGUUUGACCUGGGUUAUUGGUAAAUGUUCACUGUGUAAACAUAUGUAUAUGAUAUUUAGUUUUAUGUUUAGGUAUAUUAUAAUUCCAUAAACUAUAAAUAGUUAAGAGCAUUGGCAUGGAGUUGACUGUAUAGAGGAAAGAGGGACCCACGCUCAUAUCACCAGUGUCCCUCUUACAGCACUGUUGUCUGUCUCAUCUAUCCCUUCCAAUUGAGGACAGGCACACCCUUGGGUGUUCCCAGAUUACACUAGCCAAUUCCUGCUAGCACGUACCACAGCUCAGCCACAUCCCACUGCCAUCUGUCUGGGAUCUCUCCAUCACAUCCUUCUCUUCUGGCUGCUCCUAGCUUCCACUUCCUCCAGUUCCCUGGGGACUUCUAGGAGUUGUAUUUCACAUUGCAGUUCACAUUACAGUACAUUCCUCCUCCAUAAAGCAUGGUGCCCCCCUCUCCCCAUAUAAAAUAGAAACACGGUACUGACAUAGGGGUGGGGAUCUAGGAACGGACAUAUUUGGUCACUAAUUGGCACAAACAUGCUGUGCUGAGAGAGUAGAGUGUACCUGAGGGCAGACAUGUUUCAGAAUCAGAACAGCGGUGCUGUUGCAGAAGUUAGGAGCUGCAUGCAGGAGUUAGGAGCUGUCAUAAGCACACAGCACUGAGACAGGGUUUGGAGUUGAGAAUGGGCAUGUACGGUGGCUGGAACUGACACACACUACUGAGAUUGAGGUGUGCAGCUGAGAACAGAUAGUCCGAGUGCCUGGCACAAGCACAAACAUUGACACAGUGCUGAGAAAUGGAGAAUGGGUAUGCCCAGUGCUUGGCACUAAUGCACAGUGCUGCUUGCACCCUGGCUGAGCUCAGGAUUUCCCCUGUACUGGGUUCUACACAGAUCCCAAAGGAGAUCAGGACCCUCACUUUUCUGAAGAGACACAGGAGUAGGAAGGAGCACAGAAUGGGAGAGAUGUGCUGGACUUGGGGCACAAAGUUCCUUAAAGAAUUAGGGAGCUGGUGGUCUAAUUCCCUUGGGAUCUGUUAAUGGGGGAGCUGGUCUUUGAAAUGGGGGAAACUUCUGCUGUGCCAGGUUAGCUUGCCUCCAGAUGGAGGGGAUCAGAAGUCAUAUGCCUUGGAGCUAGAACAGGGAGAGAUAAAAGAGCAGCCUGGGUCAGACAGGAUAUGGUGGUGUGGGUCUCCCUCCUUUCCUACUUUUGGUGUUGGUGCCUUCUGAGGGGCCUCUAGGACAAAAGCAAUCACCCAUUAGGGAGCAACAUUUGGGAUAAUCAUACUUAACUUUCUUCCUCACUGAUUAAAAAAAUGAAAAAUAUUUGAGAAGGAAAUAUUUGAGUAAUACUUGGAGACCAAUGAAAGGACACAUUCCCUUACACCCUUGAACUUUUCAAGGGCAAAAGAUGGGGAAAGUAUGUAUUUUCCCCUUUCGAGUUGUUUUUUAAUUAAAAAAAAAGAAUUUAUAUAGAAGUCUUUGAACUAUGGUCUUAACCGCAUAGUUGCUUUGCCUAGAGUGGUGGAAGGAGAGUGAGAAUGUGAUUGGGUUACAAACCUGUUUGCAAUCAUCUUUGUAUGUUGAUGAUGUUAUUUAUUAUGAACUUUAGAUAAUGUUAAUAUUUGAGUCUGAUCUUAAAUCUCAUCUACACAGGAACAUUGGAACAAAUUCUGCCUUCAGUGAAAUCAAAGAUUCUUCAUCCCUUGCCCUCCCUGGGUGCAUCCCCAUGAGCAGGCAUGUGCGUUUCCCUGUGGACAAGUAGCAGCAGCACACCUUGUAUCGCUGGAACUUGUCCCCAGGGAACACCUAUGCCACACUCCAGUGUGCAGCAGAUUACCCCAGCUGGGCAGGUGCUGGCCCCAGCAGCUUUACUUGGGGUCCUGGGAGAGCUGCAGCCAGUAGCCAUGUGCGCUGCAAAGUAGCAGAGCAGGGAGUGCUUGCAUGUGUGGUGUGUGGUGCUACAGAUGGGGCUGCAGCACCACAUAUUGCACAUCCGUGCUCGUCUGGAUGCAUCCCCAUCAGACAGUGCAACAACUGUGCACAUUAGAAUACUUUGGUAGGAUGUCUGCUUUAAGUAAUAAAUACAUUAAAGGAGUUGUCACUAGGUGUCAACAGAAACUGGGUGGAAGGGAGGUCCGUUUCAUUCACUGGGUGGUCAACUCUUACUUGGCCAGGCAGAAGGAAAUAAACAAAAUUUUCAGUAUAUCCCACUGUAAGCUGGGGUUCCUUAGACAUUUUGACAAGAGAUAUUGUUAACAGUUGAGAAAUGUUAUAGUAUCUGGAAAUCACUUUGUAAAGCAUCUAAUUCAUUGCUUUUAAGAUUUUUUCAGAAAAAGAUAUUAAAUGGAUUUUAUUGGACUCCCAAUAAAAUGGUUCCUUAAAGCAGUACUUACCUCAAAUGACUACUGCUGGAGAUGUGGAAACCAUGUUGGGUCUCUUAGUCAUAUUUUUUAUUUUGUCCUAAAAGUACUAGUUUUUGGCUUAGCAUUUGCGCAGCACUUUCUAAGACACUUAAAAUUAACAUGGUACCAUCACCAGAUUUAUACAUAUUGGGGAUUAUAGAUUCAUUACCAUUGUCUGUACACAUGGCUAGCUAUAAUAUUUUUGAUGAUUAAACGAGUAAUUUUAAAGAAAUGGAAAAUUCCCAGCGUACCUUCAUUCCCAGAAUGGUUAAAAGAACUUAUGCACAGUGCAUUAAUGAAAAAGAUACUGGACUCAAUAUGAAGCAGUAUGAUGCAAUAUGAAUCAUCUAUUAAGUUUAUAAGUUGAUUUGUUUGUGUCUUGGUAUCCUUGAAAUAUAUAUGUAUAUUUGUUAGUUGGUUGUCAAGCUCUCAUCUUCCCCUAGUCUUUAUUAAAUUUAUAGUAUGUAUGUUUAAUUA
Long non-coding RNA from Alligator mississippiensis (American alligator), 5547 nucleotides. RefSeq lists it as uncharacterized. The transcript has 2 exons. Lineage: Eukaryota; Metazoa; Chordata; Crocodylia; Alligatoridae. The record is from RefSeq and is a predicted model, not a curated record.